This 505-nucleotide ribosomal RNA is filed under the name uncultured bacterium. RNAcentral's name for it is "partial 16S ribosomal RNA". It matches the Rfam family "Bacterial small subunit ribosomal RNA", at positions 28 to 507 of the family's 1533-position model. The record is from RNAcentral.
GACGAACGCUGGCGGCGUGCCUAAUACAUGCAAGUAGAACGCACAGUUUAUACCGUAGCUUGCUACACCAUAGACUGUGAGUUGCGAACGGGUGAGUAACGCGUAGGUAACCUGCCUGGUAGCGGGGGAUAACUAUUGGAAACGAUAGCUAAUACCGCAUAAUAUUAAUUAUUGCAUGAUAAUUAAUUGAAAGGUGCAAUUGCACCACUACCAGAUGGACCUGCGUUGUAUUAGCUAGUAGGUGAGGUAACGGCUCACCUAGGCGACGAUACAUAGCCGACCUGAGAGGGUGAUCGGCCACCCUGGGACUGAGACACGGCCCAGACGCCUACGGGAGGCAGCAGUAGGGAAUCUUCGGCAAUGGACGAAAGUCUGACCGAGCAACGCCGCGUGAGUGAAGAAGGUUUUCGGAUCGUAAAGCUCUGUUGUAAGAGAAGAACGGGUGUGAGAGUGGAAAGUUCACACUGUGACGGUAUCUUACCAGAAAGGGACGGCUAACUACGUG